UUUCCAAUUUUUCCCCUUUUUUUACCAUUUUUUUCCCCUUUUUUACCAAUUUUUACCCAUUUUUCCCCUUUUUUACUGAUUUUUACCCACUUUUCCCUUUUUUAUCCAUUUUUCCCAUUUUCCCCGUUUUUUAUCCAUUUUUAACUCAUUUUUUACCCUGUUUUCCAAUUUUCUACAAUUUUUCCCCAUUUUUUCCCAUUUUUUCCCAUUUUUUACACAUUUUUCCCAUUUUUACCCAGUUUUCCCUUUUUUUUAAUCCAUUUUUCCUGUUUUUUACCCAUUUUUAAUCCAUUUUUUACCCAUUUUUUACCCUGUUUUCCAAUUUUCUACAAUUUUUCCCCAUUUUUUCCCAUUUUUUCCCCAUUUUUUCCCAUUUUUCCAUUUUUUACCCAUUUUUCCCAUUUUUUCCCAUUUUUACCCUUUUUUAUCCAUUUUUCCUGUUUUUUACCCAUUUUUCAUCCAUUUUUUACCCAUUUUUUACCGUUUUCCAAUUUUCUACAAUUUUUCCCCAUUUUUUACCAAUUUUUCCCCAUUUCUACCCAUUUUUUCCCAUUUUUUAUCAUUUUUUUACCCCAUUUUUCCCUAUUUUUUACCCUUUUUUCCAUUUUUUAUCCAUUUUUUACCCUUUUUCUCCAUUUUUUACCAUUUUUUCCCCUUUUUUACCAGUUUUUCCUCAUUUUUACAAUUUUUUCCCAUUUUUAUCCAUUUUUCCCCAUUUUUUCCCAUUUUUAUCCAUUUUUUCCCAUUUUUAGCCAUUUUUUCCCCAUUUUUUACCCUUUUUUUCCAUUUUUUACCAAUUUUUUCCCCGUUUUUCCCAUUUUUCCCCAUUUUUUACCCAUUUUUUCCCCAUUUUUCCCCAUUUUUCCCCCUUUUUAUCCAUUUUUACCCAUUUCUUACCCUGUUUUCCAAUUUUCUACAAUUUUUCCCCAUUUUUUAGCCAUUUUUAGCCAUUUUUUUCCCUUUUUUUAUCAAUUUUUUCCCCAAUUUUUUCCCAUUUGUUCCCCUUUUUUAUCCUUUUUUUACCAAUUUUUUCCCCUUUUUUUACCAAUUUUUACCUAUUUUUCCCCAUUUCUUACCCAUUUUUCCCAGUUUUACCCAUUUUUUCCCCUUUUUUAUCCAUUUUUUCCCGUUUUUUACCAGUUUUUAAUCAUUUUUACCCAUUUUUUACCCUGUUUUCCAAUUUUCUACAAUUUUUCUCCAUUUUUUACCCAUUUUCCCCCAUUUUUUCCCAUUUUUUAUCCCCAUUUCUACCCAUUUUUUCGCCUUUUUUAUCCAUUUUUUACCCAUUUUUCCCAUUUUUAUCCAUUUUUUACCCUUUUUUUCCAUUUUUUACCAAUUUUUACCCAUUUUCCCCAUUUUUUACCCAUUUUUCCAAUUUUUUCCCAUUUUUUACCCAUUUUUUCCCAUUUCUUCCCCUUUUUUUUACCAAUUUUCCCCAUUUUUAUCCAUUUUUUCCCAUUUUUAUCCAUUUUUCCCCAUUUUUUUCCCAUUUUUACCCCUUUUUUACCCUUUUUUUCCAUUUUUUAUCCAUUUUUUCCCAUUUUUAUUGAAUUUUUACCCCAUUUUUACCCAUUUUUUCCCCUUUUUUGCCAAUUUUCCCCAUUUUUAUCCAUUUUUUACCCUUUUUUUACCCUUUUUUUCGUUUUUUUUCCCCAUUUUUUCCCAUUUUUUCCCAUUUUACC
Molecule: long non-coding RNA, 1682 nt
Organism: Phasianus colchicus (ring-necked pheasant)
Lineage: Eukaryota; Metazoa; Chordata; Aves; Galliformes; Phasianidae
Source: Ensembl